GCAUAUCAAUAAGCGGAGGAAAAGAAACUAACAAGGAUUCCCCUAGUAACUGCGAGUGAAGCGGGAAAAGCUCAAAUUUAAAAUCUGGUAGCCUUUGGUUGCCCGAGUUGUAGUCUGGAGAAGCGUUUUCCGCGCUGGACCGUGUACAAGUCUCUUGGAACAGAGCGUCAUAGAGGGUGAGAAUCCCGUCUUUGACACGGACUACCAGUGCUUUGUGAUGCGCUCUCAAAGAGUCGAGUUGUUUGGGAAUGCAGCUCAAAAUGGGUGGUAAAUUCCAUCUAAAGCUAAAUAUUGGCGAGAGACCGAUAGCGAACAAGUACCGUGAGGGAAAGAUGAAAAGCACUUUGGAAAGAGAGUUAAACAGUACGUGAAAUUGCUGAAAGGGAAACGCUUGAAGUCAGUCGCGUCUUCUAGUACUCAGCCUUCCUUUUGGUUGGUGCAUUUACUAGUCGACGGGCCAGCAUCAGUUUUGGCUGCGGGAUAAAGGUCAGGGGAAUGUGGCACCUUCGGGUGUGUUAUAGCCUCUGGUCAUAUACCGUGGCUGGGACUGAGGAUCUCAGCAUGCCUUUAUGGCGGGGGUUCGCCCACCUUUCAUGCUUAGGAUGCUGGCGUAAUGGCUUUAAACGACCCGUCUUGAAACACGGACCAAGGAGUCUAACAUGCCUGCGAGUGUUUGGGUGGAAAACCCGAGCGCGUAAUGAAAGUGAUAGUUGGGAUCUCUGUCGUGGAGAGCACCGACGCCCGGACCAGACCUUCUGUGACGGCUCCGCGGUAGAGCAUGUAUGUUGGGACCCGAAAGAUGGUGAACUAUGCCUGAAUAGGGUGAAGCCAGAGGAAACUCUGGUGGAGGCUCGUAGCGAUUCUGACGUGCAAAUCGAUCGUCAAAUUUGGGUAUAGGGGCGAAAGACUAAUCGAACCAUCUAGUAGCU
RNAcentral lists this ribosomal RNA (929 nucleotides) under Phlebiopsis laxa. Its description in RNAcentral is "LSU rRNA". It matches the Rfam family "Eukaryotic large subunit ribosomal RNA", at positions 38 to 952 of the family's 3401-position model. The record is from RNAcentral. Lineage: Eukaryota; Fungi; Basidiomycota; Agaricomycetes; Polyporales; Phanerochaetaceae.